RNAcentral lists this long non-coding RNA (825 nucleotides) under Homo sapiens (human). RNAcentral describes it as "HSALNT0126881". The record is from RNAcentral. Lineage: Eukaryota; Metazoa; Chordata; Mammalia; Primates; Hominidae.
CCUAAUUCAAAGAAAAAAGCAUUUACUCUUUGUCCUGAACAGGUGUAGUCAAAAAAAGAACGCUGGUUUAUGAAAUGCUGACACGAUUUCACUCUCACCUUACAGCAACAAAACUACCCUCAGAGGUUUUGUACAAAUGAAGGAGACAAAAAUGGACCAGGGCUUACACAAGGACCGGGAGAACACACUGAAGACAAAACCUAACCAAAGACUACAAUGCCUGGGCCAAAUUUUGUGGCAUAAGGAAGAGGAAGGAAAAGCAGGAGAAGGUCAUUUGGGGUCACAGGUAAGGAAAAACGCUGCUUCAUUAAUACAGUACAUGCAUGCCCCUGCCUCUAUCAAAAGACACGUUCAAGGCCGGGUGUGAUGGCACACGCCUGUAAUCCCAGCACUUCGGAAGGCUGAGGCGGGUGGAUCACCUGAAGUCUGAAGUUCAAGACCAGCCUGGCCAACAUGGUGAAACCCCGUCUCUACUAAAAAUACAAAAAUUAGGCGGGGCGCGGUGGCUCACGCCUGUAAUCCCAGCACUUUGGGAGGCAGAGGCGGGCAGAUCAUGAGGUCAGGAAAUCGAGACCAUCCUGGCUAACACAGUGAAACCCCGCCUCUACUAAAAAUAUAAAAAAUUAGCCGGGCGUGGUGGCGGGCGCCUGUAGUCCCAGCUACUCGGGAGGCUGAGGCAGGAGAAUGGCGUGAACCCGGGAGGCGGAGCCUGCAGUGAGCCGAGAUCGCGCCACUGCAAUACAUCUCCAGCCCUCAAGCUGGGUGAAUGCUUAACGAGUGGAUGGAGGUGCUGCCUCUGCAAUACAUGUGGGCGACAGAGCGAGA